Molecule: long non-coding RNA, 894 nt
Filed under: Homo sapiens (human)
Lineage: Eukaryota; Metazoa; Chordata; Mammalia; Primates; Hominidae
Description: LNC_000359
Source: RNAcentral
CGAGAGUGGAGUUCAGCUCCUUUCUCUACUUUUUUUUGGUCUGAUGGCACAUAUUUAUUGUUCUGUGGUCUAAUCACAGUGUUUCUAAAUGUAAAAAGUGCAUAUGUUGGUGUAGCUAGUCCCGCGACAUUGAGCUCCUCUGCAUGAAGACACUGGGCUCCUGCAUCCAGCUGUUUUUAUUGCAAACUAGCUCCUUUCUCCCACACUGGGAACUUUAGUCCACGAGGCUGUCACCACCCUGGUAGCACUGGGCCAGGCUUUGUAGCUCCUGCAGCAGCUCUGCUACGUCAUCGUGCUCCACUCCAGCAUCCAUGAAGCUGGCCCAGCGCCGCAAGUCGAGUUUGGUGAGGUCUCUGGCCAAGGCUUCCAGGGUCUGGUGCAGGGACGAAGAGGAACACAGUGCCCCAAACACUGGGAUGCUCUCCACUGCUGUGGAGGGAGAGGAAACAGAGACCUGUAGAUGGAUGAUUAUUCUGCCCUGGGACUCUGCCAAACUGAUAAGGAAGUCCAACCUUAGUAGACUUGAUUGUAAACUCAACAAAUUUGGUGUAUUGUCCCCUUAGUACACCAGUACUCCAGAGGAAGAAUGCUUUUCUUGGGAGCCAUAGGGUGAAUAAAGGAAUGUUUAACUGUGGACUUUUUCAGCACUUUUAAUCCAGGAAUGGAGAUAGUAAAAACUCUCCCAUACUUGAAAUCUCAGUUUUCUUCACCUCCUACAUACCUGCUCCCUUGGGGGAACCAUCCAGAACCAUACCCGGUGGACUGCAGCUUGAGAAGAGGUGGGGAAGCUCAGCAUGUCAGCCAGAUGAACCAUGGAAACUGGAGAGGAACACAGGCGAUAAGGAACAGUGACUGUGUCCAGGGCUGUAGCCAGGAUGGCACUGCAGUGGAAGG